This 1097-nucleotide ribosomal RNA is filed under the name Ascomycota sp. B1a0278EM2CC695. Its description in RNAcentral is "eukaryotic LSU rRNA". The stretch from base 501 to 1097 matches the Rfam family "Eukaryotic large subunit ribosomal RNA", at positions 1 to 604 of the family's 3401-position model. Lineage: Eukaryota; Fungi; Ascomycota. The record is from RNAcentral.
ACCAGGUGCGUUCGCGGCCCUCGAGGGUUCUCUCUCGGGUGGUAGGGGUAACACCCUCACGCGUCGCAUUUCUGAAUCCUUUUUUACGAGCACCUUUCGUUCUCCUUCGGUGGGGCAACCUGCCGCUGGAACUUAACAAAACCUUUUUUUGCAUCUAGCAUUACCUGUUCUGAUACAAACAAUCGUUACAACUUUCAACAAUGGAUCUCUUGGCUCUGGCAUCGAUGAAGAACGCAGCGAAAUGCGAUAAGUAGUGUGAAUUGCAGAAUUCAGUGAAUCAUCGAAUCUUUGAACGCACAUUGCGCCCCUUGGUAUUCCAUGGGGCAUGCCUGUUCGAGCGUCAUCUACACCCUCAAGCUCUGCUUGGUGUUGGGCGUCUGUCCCGCCUCUGUGCGUGGACUCGCCCCAAAUGCAUUGGCAGCGGUCCUUGCCUCCUCUCGCGCAGCACAAUUGCGUUUCUUGAGGUGUGCGGCUCGCAUCCACAAAGCAACCAUCGUCUUUGACCUCGGAUCAGGUAGGGAUACCCGCUGAACUUAAGCAUAUCAAUAAGCGGAGGAAAAGAAACCAACAGGGAUUGCCCUAGUAACGGCGAGUGAAGCGGCAACAGCUCAAAUUUGAAAUCUGGCUCUCUUUGGGGGUCCGAGUUGUAAUUUGCAGAGGAUGCUUUGGUAUUGUCGGCGGUCUAAGUUCCUUGGAACAGGACAUCACAGAGGGUGAGAAUCCCGUACGUGGUCGCCUGCCUUUACCGUGUAAAGCUCCUUCGACGAGUCGAGUUGUUUGGGAAUGCAGCUCUAAAUGGGAGGUAAAUUUCUUCUAAAGCUAAAUACCGGCCAGAGACCGAUAGCGCACAAGUAGAGUGAUCGAAAGAUGAAAAGUACUUUGGAAAGAGAGUCAAAAAGCACGUGAAAUUGUUGAAAGGGAAGCGCUUGCAGCCAGACUUGCCCGCAGUUGCUCACCUAGGCUUUUGCCUGGGGCAUUCUUCUGCGGGCAGGCCAGCAUCAGUUUGGGCGGUUGGAUAAAGGCCUCUGUCACGUAUCUCCCUUCGGGGUGACCUUAUAGGGGAGGCGUAAUGCAACCAGCCCGGACUGAGGUCCGCG